UACGUAGGUGGCAAGCGUUGUCCGGAUUUAUUGGGUUUAAAGGGUGCGUAGGCGGCCUAUUAAGUCAGUGCUGAAAUAUUCCGGCUUAACCGGGAGGGUGGCAUUGAUACUGAUGGGCUAGAGUACAGAUGAGGUAGGCGGAAUUGACGGUGUAGCGGUGAAAUGCUUAGAUAUCGUCAAGAACACCUAUAGCGAAGGCAGCUUACUAGGCUGUAACUGACGCUGAGGCACGAAAGUGUGGGGAUCAAACAGG
Molecule: ribosomal RNA, 253 nt
Filed under: uncultured bacterium
Lineage: Bacteria
Description: partial 16S ribosomal RNA
Rfam family: Bacterial small subunit ribosomal RNA
Source: RNAcentral